GACGAACGCUGGCGGCGUGCUUAACACAUGCAAGUCGAACGGAAAGGCCCUGCUUUUGUGGGGUGCUCGAGUGGCGAACGGGUGAGUAACACGUGAGUAACCUGCCCUUGACUUUGGGAUAACUUCAGGAAACUGGGGCUAAUACCGGAUAGGAGCUCCUGCUGCAUGGUGGGGGUUGGAAAGUUUCGGCGGUUGGGGAUGGACUCGCGGCUUAUCAGCUUGUUGGUGGGGUAGUGGCAUACCAAGGCUUUGACGGGUAGCCGGCCUGGGAGGGUGACCGGCCACAAUGGGACUGAGAUACGGCCCAGACUCCUACGGGAGGCAGCAGUGGGGAAUAUUGCACAAUGGGCGGAAGCCUGAUGCAGCAACGCCGCGUGCGGGAUGACGGCCUUCGGGUUGUAAACCGCUUUCGCCUGUGACGAAGCGUGAGUGACGGUAAUGGGUAAAGAAGCACCGGCUAACUACGUG
RNAcentral lists this ribosomal RNA (468 nucleotides) under uncultured bacterium. RNAcentral describes it as "partial 16S ribosomal RNA". It matches the Rfam family "Bacterial small subunit ribosomal RNA", at positions 28 to 507 of the family's 1533-position model. The record is from RNAcentral.